CUAAAAUGAACAUGGACACUAGCAAAUUACACUGGGGACAUCAAGAAUAUAAUCUUGGACAGUAUCAGCUCAAGCACACACGGCCUGGUCCACCUCCUGCUCUGCCAGCAGAGAGCAGUGUUUGAGAGCAAACACAGGAAAGUCCCUACCAGUCACCAUCUCCACUGUAGCCUUCUACAUAAUCAGAAAUUAUAGAAGAGAAGGUGAGUCGCACAGUUAAGUGAUGUGAAUCUACAACCUCUUAGUUUAGGGACCAUUCCAAACUGGGUCUUUUUGACAAUCACUCAUACAGUAGGACAACCAAUCAGUCUUCAGGCUAUUUUGGAGUCCAACCCACUGCCAGUCAUCAUCCAACAAAUAACGCCACUCGUUCUGCCGUGGCUGUCAGGAGGUCAUAGGCUGGACACUGACAAUCACACGCACCUAUGAGGAGCAGCUCUUAAUGGGCUUUCCUUUCAGCAGCAAAGGUAUUCAUGGCUUGAAUUCAUUUUAAAGAAAUCUGAUCUAUCAUUAGUUGAAACCUGCUCUGAAUGUAACAGCAGGUCAUUUGUAUGGUGACCUCAAAUAUGUAUACGUUUGUCAUAUAGCCUUUUACCACAAAUAGUGAGAACUUUGCAUUUGAGUCCAAAAGAAUGCAGAUUUAGUCUCCGAGAACUUAUUAUGUGUUGUUGUUAUGCAGGAAUCCUCUCCAGACACACUCCUCUGGUGCUGCCCAUGUAUAUGAAGGAGGUGCAUAGUGCACUGGCAGAGGGGUUGGAGAGAUCGAUGAGCUGGGCCACAGGAACAUUUUAUCUUUCAAGAUAUCACCGUUUUCAAUUAGAGUUGAUUGAAAAGGGUCACAAAUAAAUGGAGGGGAAGCCAAUCUACAUGUACAUGAGCCUGAAGAUCCAGGGUGAUGAAAUCAACCUCUACCAGCACCUUGACUAUGAGACAACGAGCCUCCUGCUUUACAGAGAAAAGCAGCAAGACCCCCACCUCUACCGCCUAAACCACAAUAUUUACAAAUAGCUAGACACAAACUUCCAACCCUUUCUUCAUCAUUGGAGAACAAUUCCCAGUCCUACUCUGGUGGCUCUUGGCACCCACUCUUCUGCUCCUUAGCAGAGGUGCCCUCUAAUCUAGUGUGUGGCACAGGUGUGCUCCAGCCUGCGACUGCUCAACUUGGGCUAGUAAUGCCAGGCCUUUGAGAGGGAGAAGAUUGAUGGGGACGUGUUGAACACAGUGGAGCCCAGCAUGAUGAGGAAGACCCUGGGUAUGGGGUACCUGCACGUGGAGAAGCUGCUCCGCUUCCAACAUGGCUGGAGGCCCUUACUUAGGUCCUUUGGAGCUGAGCAGGUUGGGUAGUAACGGAUUACCUGUAAUGGGGAUAUGCAAUCAGAUUAUAAAAAUUACAGGGGCAAUCUGGGAACCAAAAACCAAUAAAGUGGUCAUCCUGCCACUUUUUUGGUAACCAGCUGCAUUUUUUGGUAACCAGCUGCAUACAUAAAAGGACAUUUUGGAAAAAUGUAUUGCAUAUUUUAUGUUAGGCUAAGUACCAUUUACAUUGGUAAUGGUUGAAGUGUCAUUCAAAAUAAAGGUUACUUUUGAAGCAAUUCCUGCUGGGAAGCAAACAUUCAUCCACACAGCAUGAUAAAAAGCACAGGUUUCAGGCUUACUGCCUUGUCCCGCUGUCACACCACAGGGCCGG
Molecule: long non-coding RNA, 1687 nt
Filed under: Salmo salar (Atlantic salmon)
Lineage: Eukaryota; Metazoa; Chordata; Actinopteri; Salmoniformes; Salmonidae
Description: lncRNA (ENSSSAG00000099328.1)
Source: RNAcentral